Non-coding RNA from Styela clava, 350 nucleotides. The record is from RefSeq and is a predicted model, not a curated record. Lineage: Eukaryota; Metazoa; Chordata; Ascidiacea; Stolidobranchia; Styelidae.
ACUGCUUUUUAUAUCCUGUGGGCAUAAGCGUGAGGUACUGAUUGACCAGUUCGUGUGAGGCUUUCUUUCUUCAAUCGAGUAAAGUUUCAUCACUUGUUUUGUAGUUUGUAAAUGAAAUUUCUAUCUGUGCUUUUUCACAAUGAAGAUUAUAUGCUCUGGUCUUCAGAAAACUGGCACAAAGUCUAUUGCAGAAGCGUUGAGAAUACUUGGUUAUAAUGUGCAUGACUUGUACGAGCAAUUUUUCCACGAAGAAGAAUUAUGGGACAAGGUGAUUAUGACGAUUCGAUCCAGUGAAGACGAAUGGUUUGAAGCGUCAAAAACCAGUAGGAAGUUGGAAACCAAUACGCACC